Molecule: long non-coding RNA, 265 nt
Organism: Passer domesticus (house sparrow)
Lineage: Eukaryota; Metazoa; Chordata; Aves; Passeriformes; Passeridae
Exons: 2
Source: RefSeq, a predicted model, not a curated record
CAACGACCACUCGGCGGUUGCUCAUCCGAGUGUGCAGCUGCAUUCGAAAAACCGUAAUGUGCCGCUCAAUAGCAAUGGCCAACAAAUUGGCUACAGAGGCUGUCAGACUGGUAUCAAUGAGACCCUGACGGAGAAGCCAGAUGUCUGCUGCCCACAUGUAACGAAUGAUUCCUGCUCCACUGUUGCUUCUAUGGAAAGAGGCCUGCUACACCUGAAAAAACAUAUAUUUUUAAUUGAGAAAUUUAAAAUGUGGCUGGUAUUAUGC